Molecule: ribosomal RNA, 246 nt
Filed under: uncultured Eubacteriales bacterium
Lineage: Bacteria; Bacillati; Bacillota; Clostridia; Eubacteriales
Description: uncultured Clostridiales bacterium partial 16S ribosomal RNA
Rfam family: Bacterial small subunit ribosomal RNA
Source: RNAcentral
CGGAUUAGCGGCGGACGGGCGAGUAGCACGUGAGUAACCUGCCUUAGACAUUGGGAUAGCCUCGGGAAACCGGGAUUAAUACCAAAUAAAAUCAUAAUGACACAUGUCAUAACGAUCAAAACUCCGGUGGUCUAAGAUGGACUCGCGUCCCAUUAGCUAGUUGGUAGAGUAAAAGCCUACCAAGGCGACGAUGGGUAGCCGGCCUGAGAGGGUGAACGGCCACAUUGGAACUGAGAAACGGUCCAA